Molecule: ribosomal RNA, 323 nt
Filed under: Aphis hederae
Lineage: Eukaryota; Metazoa; Arthropoda; Insecta; Hemiptera; Aphididae
Description: partial 12S ribosomal RNA
Source: RNAcentral
UAGAUACCCUAUUAUAAAAAUUUAAAUUGAUUUACUUAAAAAUUAAUAGUUAAGUUCUUUAAAUUUAAAAAAUUUGGCGGUAUUUUAGUCUUAUUAGAGGAACCUGUUUAUUAAUUGAUAAUCCACGAUUAAUUUUACUUAUUUUAAUUAAUUCAUAUAUCGCUGUCAUGAAUAUAUUUAAAAAUUUAUUUUCUUUUUUUAUUUUUAUAAUUUAUGUUAAGUCAAGAUGUGGUUUAUAAAUAAGAAUAUAAUGGGUUACAAUAAAUUUUAUUUUUGGAUUUAAAAUGAAAAUUAGAAUGAAAUUGGAUUUAAUAGUAAGUUUA